ACUCUCCUCAGAACACUUCCUGGGUCUGACUGGUGGCCUGGGGAGCUGUCAGAGAAGAGCAGAGCAUACAGCCCUUACUGGUUGGGUGAGAAGG
Small nucleolar RNA from Ictidomys tridecemlineatus (thirteen-lined ground squirrel), 94 nucleotides. NCBI's taxonomy places the organism in Eukaryota, Metazoa, Chordata, Mammalia, Rodentia, Sciuridae. The record is from Ensembl.